Molecule: non-coding RNA, 255 nt
Organism: Pelobates cultripes (western spadefoot toad)
Lineage: Eukaryota; Metazoa; Chordata; Amphibia; Anura; Pelobatidae
Source: the annotation of a GenBank genome assembly
CCCGGAGAACUGCUCAUUCAUUGCUGUCAAUCUAAGGACGUGACGAGACAGCACAACCAAUACCAGUUCACAUUGUGCUCUAAAGAAAAAAAAAAACCUCAGAUUAAUAUUAUGAGAGGCGGGACUCACUCAUCUCUACAACAGCAGCUCUUAUUACGUUCUAGCUGAAUUUUUCAAGGGAGAGAGAUAUAAAAAAACAAAACAUCCAGGUAGUAAGGAAGGAGCCAAGGCAGGAAAGUGUCAGAUAGACUUCAC